Molecule: ribosomal RNA, 497 nt
Filed under: uncultured bacterium
Lineage: Bacteria
Description: partial 16S ribosomal RNA
Rfam family: Bacterial small subunit ribosomal RNA
Source: RNAcentral
GACGAACGCUGGCGGCGUGCUUAAUACAUGCAAGUAGAACGCUGAAGCGAGGUGCUUGCUCUACUCGGAUGAGUAGCGAAUGGGUGAGUAAUGAGUAGGUUACCCGUCUUGUAGCGGGGGCUAACUAUAGGAAACGAUAGUUAAUACUGCAUAACACUGGAUGACACAUGUCAUUUAUUUGUAAGGGGCAAUUGCUACACUAUAACAUCGACUUGCGUUGUAUUAGCUAGUAGGUGGGGUCAUGGCUUACCUAGGCGACGAUACAUAGACGACGGGAGAGGCGGGUCGGCCGCACUGGGACUGAGACACGGCCCAGACGCCUGCGAGAGGCAGCAGAAUGGAAUCGUCGGCAAUGGGGGCGACCCUGGCCGAGCAAGUCCGCGUGAGUGAAGAAGGUGUUCGGAUCGUGAAGCUCGGUUGUAGGUCGAGAACGGGUUUGGGUGUGGAAAGAUCACACUGUGACGGUAGCGGGCCAAGAAGGAACGGCUAACUACGUG